GUGUUGUAGGAAUAGAGAUAAGGUUAGCACUCCCCAUGAUAAGGAUGGAAGAGAUCCAUGUGGACUUUACAACGCAUAUACAAUUAAGGCAUUACCACUUACUUCGUGGCUUCUGUCUACCAUUUCCA
Small nuclear RNA from Protopterus annectens (West African lungfish), 128 nucleotides. Lineage: Eukaryota; Metazoa; Chordata; Ceratodontiformes; Protopteridae. The record is from RefSeq and is a predicted model, not a curated record.